This 65-nucleotide transfer RNA is filed under the name Paraplea frontalis. RNAcentral describes it as "tRNA-Glu". It matches the Rfam family "tRNA". Rfam says of the family: Transfer RNA (tRNA) molecules are approximately 80 nucleotides in length. The record is from RNAcentral. Lineage: Eukaryota; Metazoa; Arthropoda; Insecta; Hemiptera; Pleidae.
AUUUAAGUAGUUUAAAAAAAACAUUUUAUUUUCAAUAAAAAGAAGAGUAUUAAACUCCUUAAAUA